UGCCUACGGGGGGCAGCAGUGAGGGAUAUUGGUCAAUGGGGGAAACCCUGAACCAGCAACGCCGCGUGAGGGAAGACGGUUUUCGGUACGUAAAGCUCUAUCAGCAGGGAAGAAAAUGACGGUACCUGACUAAGAAGCCCCGGCUAACUACGUGCCAGCAGCCGCGGUAAUACGUAGGGGGCAAGCGUUAUCCGGAUUUACUGGGUGUAAAGGGAGCGUAGACGGCAGCGCAAGUCUGGAGUGAAAUCCCAUGGCUUAACCAUGGAACUGCUUUGGAAACUGUGCAGCUGGAGGGCAGGAGAGGG
This 305-nucleotide ribosomal RNA is filed under the name uncultured bacterium. Its description in RNAcentral is "bacterial SSU rRNA". It matches the Rfam family "Bacterial small subunit ribosomal RNA", at positions 335 to 658 of the family's 1533-position model. The record is from RNAcentral.